CACGUAGGGCGCGAGCGUUGUCCGGAAUUAUUGGGCGUAAAGAGCUCGUAGGCGGCCUGUUGCGUCCGCUGUGAAAGCCCGGGGCUUAACCCCGGGUCGGCAGUGGAUACGGGCAGGCUAGAGGUAGGUAGGGGAGAAUGGAAUUCCUGGUGUAGCGGUGGAAUGCGCAGAUAUCAGGAGGAACACCGAUGGCGAAGGCAGGUCUCUGGGCCAUUACUGACACUGAGAAGCGAAAGCAUGGGGAGCGAACAGG
RNAcentral lists this ribosomal RNA (253 nucleotides) under uncultured bacterium. RNAcentral describes it as "partial 16S ribosomal RNA". It matches the Rfam family "Bacterial small subunit ribosomal RNA", at positions 524 to 776 of the family's 1533-position model. The record is from RNAcentral.